This 1525-nucleotide long non-coding RNA is filed under the name Lynx pardinus (Iberian lynx). Lineage: Eukaryota; Metazoa; Chordata; Mammalia; Carnivora; Felidae. The record is from RNAcentral.
AUAGAUGCCUCUUGACCUGACCCAUGUAGACUUUUGAGGGAAGACAGGAGUCUGCAGAGAGGUGCUAGGGAUGUUACAUAGGAGGAGGGAGACUGGGAGUCAGGGAGGAGGCCAGGAGCUUUUGCUUUGUGUUUCUCAGCUUCUCAGAAUACCAAGAUGGUGCUGCAGAUGGUGCUGAGGAGGGAGACCCCCCCGAGCCCUGCAAGAAGCAACCUAGACUGGAUACAGAAUGUGGUGAGUACCCUGGUGGUUCUCCCGGAAGGGGUGCUGACAACCUGCUCCUGCCUCCCUGGCCUGUAGACCCCAGAGUCAGGGAACCACUACCAAGGGGGGAAAGAGACCUGAGCUGGGGCACAGCUCCACGGUUUUAGGGCUAGGAGCCAUGGUAUCUGACCAUGGACACUGACACCUGAAUUUCAUAUAAUUUUCAUGUGUCAUGACAUAUUCUUUUGACUUUUUUCAACCACUUAAAAUAUAAAAAACAUUCUUAACUUGUGAUCUGCACACACACACACACACACACACACACACACACACACACAAACCUGCAACAAGUCAGACUUGGCCCACGGAUUGUGGUUGGCUGCUCUCUGCCCUAAAUCAUCCUUUGUUCUUUACUUUUCGUUUGGGUCGUGACUUCAGCACUGACCUGUCCAGAGCUCUCUGCCCAGAACUGGAGCAGAGGCUUCAGUCCCCACUCUAGCAUAUUAUGACCAUUGGGCAGAAAGAAAGGCAGCAUGGUACAAGGAAAGAGCAUGGACUCGGGAGCCAGCAAGACCUGGGUUCAAAUCCUGUCUCUACCACUUAUUACCUGGAUGAUUACUGGAUGACCUGAAGUAACUUCUUCUGCCUUUCUGAGCUUCCCUUUCCUCAUCUGUGUCCCAGAGCUUGCCCUGUAGAGCUGUUACAAAAGGGCCUUGGUAGAUGUACAACGAGACAUAGCUAUUAUUUGGGGACAUGCAAAUAAGCUGCAGAGGGUGUAGGCCUUCGCUUCCUGCUCACUUAGGUCCAGCAGCUUCUGCACACCAGCCUCCCAGGGAGGCCCCUCUCCAUCUCCAUGAAGAAAAUCAAGAAGAGAGCCUGACAUCUCCCAUGAAGCUCCUCCAGGGCCCUGUGAUGCAGAGCCCACCCUAUUCCCCUCCCCCAGCAUCCCCAGGUCUGCUGGGGCCUUACCACUGGGCCCACUGUGCUUGUCUCUUGGUUUCUAUCCUGCGUGCUUCUAUAUUGGUUCAACCAGAGGAAGACGGAAAUCUGCAAUAGUCAUAAACACAUUUAAAUCAGCCAUACAUGGCUGGGUGGCUCAGUCAGUUGAGUAUCCAAAUUCAGCUCUGGUCAUGAUCUCACAGUUCAUGAGUUCAAGCCCUGCAUUGGGCUCUGUGCUUACAGCCCAAAGCCUGGAGCCUGCUUCGGAUUCUGUGUCUCCCUCUCUCUCUGCCCCUCCCCUGCUCUCUCUCUCUCUCACUCUCUCUCUCAAAAUAAAUGAACAUUAAAAAAAUUAAAUCAGCCAUACAGAUUAUAAAACAUA